CAGAUGAGAAGCUUGCUUCUCUGAUGUUAGCGGCGGACGGGUGAGUAACACGUGGGUAACCUACCUAUAAGACUGGGAUAACUCCGGGAAACCGGGGCUAAUACCUGAUAAUAUUUUGAACCGCAUGGUUCGAUAGUGAAAGGCGGCUUCGGCUGUCACUUAUAGAUGGACCCGCGCCGUAUUAGCUAGUUGGUAAGGUAAUGGCUUACCAAGGCGACGAUACGUAGCCGACCUGAGAGGGUGAUCGGCCACACUGGAACUGAGACACGGUCCAGACUCCUACGGGAGGCAGCAGUAGGGAAUCUUCCGCAAUGGGCGAAAGCCUGACGGAGCAACGCCGCGUGAGUGAUGAAGGUUUUCGGAUCGUAAAACUCUGUUGUUAGGGAAGAACACAUUUGUUAGAGUGGAAUUUCCAUGUGUAGCGGUGAAAUGCGCAGAGAUAUGGAGGGAACACCAGUGGCGAAAGGCGGGCUCUCUGGUCUGUAACUGACGCUGAUGUGCGAAAGCGUGGGGAUCAAACAGGAUUAGAUACCCUGGUAGUCCACGCCGUAAACGAUGAGUGCUAAGUGUUAGGGGGUUUCCGCCCCUUAGUGCUGCAGCUAACGCAUUAAGCACUCCGCCUGGGGAGUACGACCGCAAGGUUGAAACUCAAAGGAAUUGACGGGGACCCGCACAAGCGGUGGAGCAUGUGGUUUAAUUCGAAGCAACGCGAAGAACCUUACCAAAUCUUGACAUCCUUUGAUCGCUCUAGAGAUAGAGUUUUCCCCUUCGGGGGACAAAGUGACAGGUGGUGCAUGGUUGUCGUCAGCUCGUGUCGUGAGAUGUUGGGUUAAGUCCCGCAACGAGCGCAACCCUUAAGCUUAGUUGCCAUCAUUAAGUUGGGCACUCUAGGUUGACUGCCGGUGACAAACCGGAGGAAGGUGGGGAUGACGUCAAAUCAUCAUGCCCCUUAUGAUUUGGGCUACACACGUGCUACAAUGGAUAAUACAAAGGGCAGCGAACCCGCGAGGUCAAGCAAAUCCCAUAAAAUUAUUCUCAGUUCGGAUUGUAGUCUGCAACUCGACUACAUGAAGCUGGAAUCGCUAGUAAUCGUAGAUCAGCAUGCUACGGUGAAUACGUUCCCGGGUCUUGUACACACCGCCCGUCACACCACGAGAGUCUGUAACACCCGAAGCCGGUGGAGUAACCUUUUAUUAGGAGCUAGCCG
This 1207-nucleotide ribosomal RNA is filed under the name Mammaliicoccus lentus. RNAcentral's name for it is "bacterial SSU rRNA". It matches the Rfam family "Bacterial small subunit ribosomal RNA". The record is from RNAcentral. Lineage: Bacteria; Bacillati; Bacillota; Bacilli; Caryophanales; Staphylococcaceae.